GCAUAUCAAUAAGCGGAGGAAAAGAAACCAACAGGGAUUGCCCUAGUAACGGCGAGUGAAGCGGCAACAGCUCAAAUUUGAAAUCUGGCCUCGGCCCGAGUUGUAAUUUGCAGAGGAUGCUUCUGGCGCGGUGCCUUCCGAGUUCCCUGGAACGGGACGCCACAGAGGGUGAGAGCCCCGUAUGGUCGGACACCAAGCCUGUGUGAAGCUCCUUCGACGAGUCGAGUAGUUUGGGAAUGCUGCUCUAAAUGGGAGGUAAAUCUCUUCUAAAGCUAAAUACCGGCCAGAGACCGAUAGCGCACAAGUAGAGUGAUCGAAAGAUGAAAAGCACCUUGAAAAGGGGGUUAAAUAGUACGUGAAAUUGUUGAAAGGGAAGCACUUGU
RNAcentral lists this ribosomal RNA (383 nucleotides) under Phaeocytostroma ambiguum. RNAcentral's name for it is "eukaryotic LSU rRNA". It matches the Rfam family "Eukaryotic large subunit ribosomal RNA", at positions 38 to 426 of the family's 3401-position model. Lineage: Eukaryota; Fungi; Ascomycota; Sordariomycetes; Diaporthales; Diaporthaceae. The record is from RNAcentral.